AGCGAUGAUGAAUAGGAAAUGUUCUCUAUUUCUCACCAUGUCUUUGCAUUUGUAGCUUCUGUCUUCAGAGUCCACCUACACAGUGCUUCAAAAACAUUACAGUUUGGGGCUCUUAAAGAACUGGCUUGCUGAUUCGAGUGCAACCUAUCGCUGGCUCAGUCUCCAUGGAAUGGGCAAUGUAGCUCAUCAUCUGCAAAGUAAGAAAGAAUUCACUACCCUAAUCCUCAGUAUCCUCCCAAGUUUUGAUGACUCUGAUGAGAAGGUGGCCUUGACAGCGAUGGAGGUCAUAACGAAGGUCAUGGUGCAACAGAAGAUCAAUGUCAACUUAUAUGUGAAAAUUACCAAGCAGCUUCAGCCAUUCCUGGCCGAUGGGAGGAACAAAGUAAGCUGUGCUGCAAAUAAAUUGUUUCAAGACAUACUUAAGAACAUAGAUGCAAAAGACAAGUAUGCUAUGCAAGACCAGGUUCUCACUGCUAUUGUUACACUGAUGGUGAAUCUGCAAGAACUAAAUCUGGAUGUAGCCAAGAGUCGUAUGGACAGCUUGCAUGAAUGCAAAGUCUUUCAGGGAUGGACAACAAAUGAUAACGAAGACUCUUGGGACAUGGUUUGCAAGCACCUUGUAAGGCCAUUCAAGCCCUGUGCUCCUCUUCAUGCUAUCUGCUAA
Molecule: long non-coding RNA, 664 nt
Filed under: Anolis carolinensis (green anole)
Lineage: Eukaryota; Metazoa; Chordata; Lepidosauria; Squamata; Anolidae
Description: lncRNA (ENSACAG00000003481.4)
Source: RNAcentral